RNAcentral lists this ribosomal RNA (889 nucleotides) under uncultured bacterium. RNAcentral describes it as "bacterial SSU rRNA". It matches the Rfam family "Bacterial small subunit ribosomal RNA", at positions 61 to 963 of the family's 1533-position model. The record is from RNAcentral.
GUCGAACGAGCGAGAGAGAGCUUGCUUUCUCAAGCGAGUGGCGAACCGGUGAGUAACGCGUGAGGAACCUGCCUCAAAGAGGGGGACAACAGUUGGAAACGACUGCUAAUACCGCAUAAGCCCACGACCCGGCAUCGGGUAGAGGGAAAAGGAGCAAUCCGCUUUGAGAUGGCCUCGCGUCCGAUUAGCUAGUUGGUGAGGUAACGGCCCACCAAGGCGACGAUCGGUAGCCGGACUGAGAGGUUGAACGGCCACAUUGGGACUGAGACACGGCCCAGACUCCUACGGGAGGCAGCAGUGGGGAAUAUUGCACAAUGGGGGAAACCCUGAUGCAGCGACGCCGCGUGGAGGAAGAAGGUCUUCGGAUUGUAAACUCCUGUUGUUGAGGAAGAUAAUGACGGUACUCAACAAGGAAGUGACGGCUAACUACGUGCCAGCAGCCGCGGUAAAACGUAGGUCACAAGCGUUGUCCGGAAUUACUGGGUGUAAAGGGAGCGCAGGCGGGAAGACAAGUUGGAAGUGAAAUCCAUGGGCUCAACCCAUGAACUGCUUUCAAAACUGUUUUUCUUGAGUAGUGCAGAGGUAGGCGGAAUUCCCGGUGUAGCGGUGGAAUGCGUAGAUAUCGGGAGGAACACCAGUGGCGAAGGCGGCCUACUGGGCACCAACUGACGCUGAGGCUCGAAAGUGUGGGUAGCAAACAGGAUUAGAUACCCUGGUAGUCCACACUGUAAACGAUGAUUACUAGGUGUUGGAGGAUUGACCCCUUCAGUGCCGCAGUUAACACAAUAAGUAAUCCACCUGGGGAGUACGACCGCAAGGUUGAAACUCAAAGGAAUUGACGGGGGCCCGCACAAGCAGUGGAGUAUGUGGUUUAAUUCGACGCAACGCG